GGGGUUGUGGCUCAGCGGUAGAGCACUUGCCUAGACGUGUGAGUCCCUGUGUUCGAUCCUCAGCACUACA
Molecule: transfer RNA, 70 nt
Filed under: Marmota monax (woodchuck)
Lineage: Eukaryota; Metazoa; Chordata; Mammalia; Rodentia; Sciuridae
Description: tRNA.Undet
Source: RNAcentral